RNAcentral lists this ribosomal RNA (468 nucleotides) under uncultured bacterium. Its description in RNAcentral is "partial 16S ribosomal RNA". It matches the Rfam family "Bacterial small subunit ribosomal RNA", at positions 28 to 507 of the family's 1533-position model. The record is from RNAcentral.
GACGAACGCUGGCGGCGUGCUUAACACAUGCAAGUCGAACGGAAAGGCCCUGCUUUCGUGGGGUGCUCGAGUGGCGAACGGGUGAGUAACACGUGAGUAACCUGCCCUUGACUUUGGGAUAACUUCAGGAAACUGGGGCUAAUACCGGAUAGGAGCUCCUGCUGCAUGGUGGGGGUUGGAACGUUUCGGCGGUUGGGGCUGGACGCGCGGCUUAUCAGCUUGUUGGUGGGGUAGUGGCUUACCAAGGCUUUGGCGGGUAGCCGGCCUGGGAGGGUGACCGGCCACAUUGGGACUGCGAUACGGCCCAGUCUCCUACGGGAGGCAGCAGUGGGGAAUAUUGCACAAUGGGCGCAAGCCUGAUGCAGCAACGCCGCGUGCGGGAUGACGGCCUUCGGGUUGUAAACCGCUUUCGCCUGUGACGAAGCGUGAGUGACGGUAAUGGGUAAAGAAGCACCGGCUAACUACGUG